Molecule: ribosomal RNA, 253 nt
Filed under: uncultured bacterium
Lineage: Bacteria
Description: partial 16S ribosomal RNA
Rfam family: Bacterial small subunit ribosomal RNA
Source: RNAcentral
UACGUAGGGUGCAAGCGUUGUCCGGAAUUAUUGGGCGUAAAGAGCUCGUAGGCGGUUUGUCGCGUCUGCUGUGAAAACUCGGGGCUCAACUCCGAGCUUGCAGUGGGUACGGGCAGACUAGAGUGCGGUAGGGGAGACUGGAAUUCCUGGUGUAGCGGUGGAAUGCGCAGAUAUCAGGAGGAACACCGGUGGCGAAGGCGGCUUUCUGGACGACAACUGACGCUGAGACGCGAAAGCGUGGGGAGCAAACAGG